Microcebus murinus (gray mouse lemur) is the source of this 1118-nucleotide non-coding RNA. NCBI's taxonomy places the organism in Eukaryota, Metazoa, Chordata, Mammalia, Primates, Cheirogaleidae. The record is from RefSeq and is a predicted model, not a curated record.
UGGUGUUUUAUAGUAGGCUAGAGAGAGUCAAGUUCAACUCCAAAUGCCACAAGGACAAGCAGAUAUUUACAGCCAAGGAGCAGAGUAGAGGUCAGAUGAUAGAAACAUCAGCAGUAUAGGGGAUUCUGACUAAACCAGCUUGACAGUGUCAUUGCUGCAGGUAGUCAGGGUGACAAGACAUUGAAGGUGGGGGAUAAGGAAUUUGACAAGAUAUCAAGAAGAUAUCAAGAGUCAGUUUUGCUAAACUGACCCAGCAGAAUUCUUGCUAAAACUGGACUAAACAGGAAAAGAACAGAGCCCAAAGUUGGGAUAAGUCAAAAAGGGAGAUCAAAGGAACCUGGCUCAAGUUCAGUCAAAGGAGAGAGUCUUUGCCAGUAGUAAAGGAAAGAAGAAGGAUUUCUUUCAAUCAAUUUCUUCCUGCCUUCCUCCAGGAAAGGGUUAGAAGGCAUCUAUCCUGUGGACAGGGAGGACACAUUGCCUCCUCCGCUGAGACGGCACUGGGAAAACAGUGAGACCUCAGAGGGAAGCUGCCUGGUGGGCAGAAAGUGGAGGACCCGAGGAACUGAGGAUUCCAGCACCAGCUCAUAUCCCCAUGAACAGAAGCAGCAGUCUGCAGUCCUGGAGGAACUGAGCAAGCUCUGCCAAAGGACCUCUCACGGUGAAUCGGUGAGGACCAGUGACUGGGUGCCUGAGAAUUCCUGAAUUCUGAUGGGGGUAGUGUCUAUAAGGCUGAGAUCAAAUCUCCCAUCAGCCUGCUGAGGUGAAGGCUGGAGUCUGAUUUAGGCUGAUCUUUAAAAAGCCUAUCUGAAAGAGAUGGAAACCUAAUUGAAAAAUGGGUCAUCAUAGCACAGACAAGGUCUGACACGGGGAAAACGGCUCACGAACCCCACCCUUGGAGAUAAAGAUGACUCCAGGAGUUCAGUGAGGCUCCUAUGCAUCAUCCUGGACAGAAGUCAGGAAACAUCUCCAGGAACAACAUUUAAAGCUAGAUGGCUGCAGGGGAGAGGUCUUUCACGGAGAGCCACCCAAGAUGCCAAUGCUGAUCCAACCUUAAGUCUUCAGGCACUGGUCCCUGCACACGGAAGGAGAGGAGUGUGAUGAUUCAUGGUCCUCCAGUC